RNAcentral lists this ribosomal RNA (491 nucleotides) under Pochazia shantungensis. Its description in RNAcentral is "partial 16S ribosomal RNA". The record is from RNAcentral. Lineage: Eukaryota; Metazoa; Arthropoda; Insecta; Hemiptera; Ricaniidae.
AUGUCUUCUAGUUUUUUUUGGAGGUCUGGCCUGCUCAAUGAUAAUUUUAAAUAGCCGCAGUAUUUUAACUGUGCAAAGGUAGCAUAAUAAUUAGUCUUUUAAUUGAGGUCUGGAAUGAAUGGUUAGACGGAAAAUAUACUUUAUUUAUGAAAUUUUUUUGAAUUUAUUUUUUAAGUUAAAAUUCUUAAAUUUUUUAGAGGGACGAUAAGACCCUAUAGAUCUUUAAAAUAAUAUUUUUUUUUUUUUUUUUGUUGUUUUAAUUUAAAAUUUUUUUUAUUUUUUGGUUGGGGUGACUAGCAAAAAUUUAAACUUUGUUUUUUUUUUACAUUUAUUUAUGUUUUUUUGGAUCCUUUAUUUAGAUUAAAAGAUAAAGAUACCUUAGGGAUAACAGCGUUAUUUAUUUGGAGAGUUCUUAUCGAUAAAUAAGUUUGCGACCUCGAUGUUGGAUUAAUUUUUGUUGUGGGGUAGGUUUUACAAAACUAGGUCUGUUC